AUAUUCCUGAGGUGUUCGUUAAAUCUCUUUAAUUCAACCGACAUAAUUAAUAUGGGAGUUCGGAGUCUAGUAAUGUAUGGUAAGCCUCACACAGAGGACAUCAGAACUUAUUAGCAGGACACCCACCUGCGAGUGUAGCGGGUAUGAAUUAAUGAGCAUAACGGCAUCAUGGGUAAACC
RNAcentral lists this non-coding RNA (179 nucleotides) under Anaeromonas frigoriresistens. Its description in RNAcentral is "6S / SsrS RNA". It matches the Rfam family "6S / SsrS RNA". From Rfam's summary of the family: E. coli 6S RNA was the first non coding RNA to be sequenced, but its function was unknown until recently. The record is from Rfam by way of RNAcentral. Lineage: Bacteria; Bacillati; Bacillota; Tissierellia; Tissierellales; Thermohalobacteraceae.